This 431-nucleotide ribosomal RNA is filed under the name uncultured bacterium. Its description in RNAcentral is "partial 16S ribosomal RNA". It matches the Rfam family "Bacterial small subunit ribosomal RNA", at positions 29 to 505 of the family's 1533-position model. The record is from RNAcentral.
AACGAACGCUGGCGGCAUGCCUAACACAUGCAAGUCGAACGAGACCUUCGGGUCUAGUGGCGCACGGGUGCGUAACGCGUGGGAACCUGCCCUUAGGUUCGGAAUAACUCCCCGAAAGGGGUGCUAAUACCGGAUAAUGUCUUCGGACCAAAGAUUUAUCGCCUUUGGAUGGGCCCGCGUUGGAUUAGCUAGUUGGUAGGGUAAAAGCCUACCAAGGCGACGAUCCAUAGCUGGUCUGAGAGGAUGAUCAGCCACACUGGGACUGAGACACGGCCCAGACUCCCUCGGGGGGGAGCAGGGGGGAAAAUUGGACAAUGGGCGAAAGCCUGAUCCAGGAAUGCCGGGGGGGUGAUGAAGGCCUUAGGGUUGUAAAGCUCUUUUACCCGGGAUGAAAAUGACAGUACCGGGGGAAUAAGCCCCGGCUAAACCCG